GCGGCGUGCCUAAUACAUGCAAGUCGAACGCACUGACGUCGACAGAAGGUGCUUGCACUGGAAGUUGAUUGACGUGAGUGGCGGACGGGUGAGUAACACGUGGGUAACCUGCCCUUAAGCGGGGGAUAACAUUUGGAAACAGAUGCUAAUACCGCAUAAAAGUUGAGAUCACAUGGUCUUAAUUUGAAAGACGGCCUUUGGCUGUCACUUAAGGAUGGACCCGCGGCGUAUUAGCUAGUUGGUGAGAUAAUAGCCCACCAAGGUGAUGAUACGUAGCCGACCUGAGAGGGUAAUCGGCCACAUUGGGACUGAGACACGGCCCAAACUCCUACGGGAGGCAGCAGUAGGGAAUCUUCCACAAUGGACGAAAGUCUGAUGGAGCAACGCCGCGUGAGUGAAGAAGGUUUUCGGAUCGUAAAACUCUGUUGUUGGAGAAGAACAGGGACUAGAGUAACUGUUAGUCCUUUGACGGUAUCCAACCAGAAAGCCACGGCAAACUACGUGCCAGCAGCCGCGGUAAUACGUAGGUGGCAAGCGUUGUCCGGAUUUAUUGGGCGUAAAGCGAGCGCAGGCGGUUUCUUAAGUCUGAUGUGAAAGCCUUCGGCUUAACCGAAGAAGUGCAUCAGAUACUGGGAAACUUGAGUGCAGAAGAGGAAAGUGGAACUCCAUGUGUAGCGGUGAAAUGCGUAGAUAUAUGGAAGAAUACCAGUGGCGAAGGCGGCUUUCUGGUCUGUAACUGACGCUGAGGCUCGAAAGUAUGGGGAGCGAACAGGAUUAGAUACCCUGGUAGUCCAUACCGUAAACGAUGAAUGCUAAGUGUUGGAGGGUUUCCGCCCUUCAGUGCUGCAGCUAACGCAUUAAGCAUUCCGCCUGGGGAGUACGACCGCAAGGUUGAAACUCAAAGGAAUUGACGGGGGCCCGCACAAGCGGUGGAGCAUGUGGUUUAAUUCGAAGCUACGCGAAGAACCUUACCAGGUCUUGACAUCUAGCGCCAAUCCUAGAGAUAGGACGUUCCCUUCGGGGACGCUAAGACAGGUGGUGCAUGGUUGUCGUCAGCUCGUGUCGUGAGAUGUUGGGUUAAGUCCCGCAACGAGCGCAACCCUUAUGAUUAGUUGCCAGCAUUUAGUUGGGCACUCAAGUCAGACUGCCGGUGACAAACCGGAGGAAGG
RNAcentral lists this ribosomal RNA (1169 nucleotides) under uncultured bacterium. RNAcentral's name for it is "bacterial SSU rRNA". It matches the Rfam family "Bacterial small subunit ribosomal RNA", at positions 39 to 1173 of the family's 1533-position model. The record is from RNAcentral.